RNAcentral lists this ribosomal RNA (253 nucleotides) under uncultured bacterium. RNAcentral's name for it is "partial 16S ribosomal RNA". It matches the Rfam family "Bacterial small subunit ribosomal RNA", at positions 524 to 776 of the family's 1533-position model. The record is from RNAcentral.
UACAGCGGGGGCUAGCGUUGUUCGGAUUUACUGGGCGUAAAGGGCGCGUAGGCGGUUUAGAAAGUCAGAUGUGAAAGCCCGGGGCUUAACUCCGGAAGUGCAUUUGAAACUUCUAGGCUAGAGUACAGUAGAGGUUGGUGGAAUUCCCAGUGUAGAGGUGAAAUUCGUAGAUAUUGGGAGGAACACCAGUGGCGAAGGCGGCCAACUGGGCUGUAACUGACGCUGAGGCGCGAAAGCGUGGGGCUCAAACAGG